AGCGAACGCUGGCGGUAGGCCUAACACAUGCAAGUCGAACGGCAGCACAGUAAGAGCUUGCUCUUACGGGUGGCGAGUGGCGGAGGGGUGAUGAAUACAUCGUAAUCUACUUUUUCGUGGGGGAUAACGUCGUGAAACUGACGCUAAUACGGCAUACGACGUACGGGUGAAAGCAGGGGACCUUCGGACCUUGUGCGACUGAAGGAGCCGAUGUCGGAUUAGCUCGUUGGCGGGGUAAGGGCCCACCAAGGCGACGCUGCGUAGCUGGUCUGAGAGGAUGGUCAGCCACACUGGAACUGAGGCACGGUCCAGAAUCCUACGGGGGGCAGCAGUGGGGAAUAUUGGACAAUGGGCGCAGGCCUGAUCCAGCCAUGCCGCGUCGUGGAAGAAGGCCUUCGGGUUGUAGAGCCCUUUUGUUGGGAAUGAAGAGCAGCAGGUUAAUACGCCGGUGUUUUGACGGUACCCAAAGAAUAAGCGCCGGCUAACUUCGUG
RNAcentral lists this ribosomal RNA (492 nucleotides) under uncultured bacterium. Its description in RNAcentral is "partial 16S ribosomal RNA". It matches the Rfam family "Bacterial small subunit ribosomal RNA", at positions 29 to 507 of the family's 1533-position model. The record is from RNAcentral.